CCUACGGGUGGCUGCAGUGGGGAAUAUUGGACAAUGGGCGAAAGCCUGAUCCAGCCAUGCCGCGUGUGUGAAGAAGGCCUUCGGGUUGUAAAGCACUUUCAGUGGGGAAGAAAGCCUUGGGGCUAAUACCCUCGAGGAAGGACAUCACCCACAGAAGAAGCACCGGCUAACUCCGUGCCAGCAGCCGCGGUAAUACGGAGGGUGCGAGCGUUAAUCGGAAUUACUGGGCGUAAAGCGCGCGUAGGCGGUCUGAUAAGCCGGUUGUGAAAGCCCCGGGCUCAACCUGGGAACGGCAUCCGGAACUGUCAGGCUAGAGUGCAGGAGAGGAAGGUAGAAUUCCCGGUGGAGCGGUGAAAUGCGUAGAGAUCGGGAGGAAUACCAGUGGCGAAGGCGGCCUUCUGGACUGACACUGACGCUGAGGUGCGAAAGCGUGGGUAGCAAACAGGAUUAGAUACCCGUGUAGUC
Molecule: ribosomal RNA, 465 nt
Filed under: Vreelandella stevensii
Lineage: Bacteria; Pseudomonadati; Pseudomonadota; Gammaproteobacteria; Oceanospirillales; Halomonadaceae
Description: partial 16S ribosomal RNA
Rfam family: Bacterial small subunit ribosomal RNA
Source: RNAcentral